RNAcentral lists this ribosomal RNA (492 nucleotides) under uncultured bacterium. Its description in RNAcentral is "partial 16S ribosomal RNA". It matches the Rfam family "Bacterial small subunit ribosomal RNA", at positions 29 to 507 of the family's 1533-position model. The record is from RNAcentral.
AGUGAACGCUGGCGGUAGGCCUAACACAUGCAAGUCGAACGGCAGCACAGUAAGAGCUUGCUCUUACGGGUGGCGAGUGGCGGACGGGUGAGGAAUACAUCGGAAUCUACUUUUUCGUGGGGGAUAACGUAGGGAAACUUACGCUAAUACCGCAUACGACCUACGGGUGAAAGCAGGGGAUCUUCGGACCUUUCGCGAUUGAAUGAGCCGAUGUCGGAUUAGCUAGUUGGCGGGGUAAAGGCACACCAAGGCGACGAUGCGUAGCUGGUCUGAGAGGAUGAUCAGCCACACUGGAACUGAGACACGGUCCAGACUCCUACGGGAGGCAGCAGUGGGGAAUAUUGCACAAUGGGCGAAAGCCUGAUCCAGCAAUACCGCGUGGGUGAAGAAGGCCUUCGGGUUGUAAAGCCCUUUUGUUGGGAAAGAAAAGCAGCAGAUUAAUCCCCCGCUGUUCUGACGGUACCCAAAGAAUAAGCCCCGGCUAACUUCGUG